Ribosomal RNA from Bacteroidales bacterium KA00251, 1534 nucleotides. It matches the Rfam family "Bacterial small subunit ribosomal RNA". Lineage: Bacteria; Pseudomonadati; Bacteroidota; Bacteroidia; Bacteroidales. The record is from Rfam.
ACAAUGGAGAGUUUGAUCCUGGCUCAGGAUGAACGCUAGCGAUAGGCUUAACACAUGCAAGUCGAGGGGUAACAUGAGAAGAGCUUGCUCUUUUUGAUGACGACCGGCGCACGGGUGCGUAACACGUAUGCAACCUGCCCUUUAUUAGCGGAUACCCCGAUGAAAGUCGGACUAAUACGUUAUGCAUUGCGAAGUUUGCAUGAACUUUGCAAUAAAGAUUUAUCGAUAAAGGAUGGGCAUGCGGUCCAUUAGAUAGUUGGUAGGGUAAAAGCCUACCAAGUCAAUGAUGGAUAGGGGGACUGAGAGGUUGACCCCCCACACCGGUACUGAGAUACGGACCGGACUCCUACGGGAGGCAGCAGUGAGGAAUAUUGGUCAAUGGGCGAGAGCCUGAACCAGCCACGUCGCGUGAAGGAAGACUGACCUUACGGUUUGUAAACUUCUUUUGUAGAGGGGUAAUGGCAGAUACGUGUAUUUGCGUGAAAGUACUCUACGAAUAAGCAUCGGCUAACUCCGUGCCAGCAGCCGCGGUAAUACGGGGGAUGCGAGCGUUAUCCGGAAUUAUUGGGUUUAAAGGGUGCGCAGGUGGCUAAUCAGGUCAGUGGUGAAAAGCUAUGGCUCAACCAUGGUCUUGCCAUUGAAACCGUAUAGCUAGAGAGGAGACGAGGUAGGCGGAAUGUGUGGUGUAGCGGUGAAAUGCAUAGAUAUCACACAGAACUCCGAUUGCGAAGGCAGCUUACCAGGCUUUAUCUGACACUUAGGCACGACAGCGUGGGGAUCAAACAGGAUUAGAUACCCUGGUAGUCCACGCCGUAAACGAUGAAUACUAGUUUUUUGCGAUAAACAGUAAGAGACUAAGCGAAAGCGAUAAGUAUUCCACCUGGGGAGUACGCCGGCAACGGUGAAACUCAAAGGAAUUGACGGGGGCCCGCACAAGCGGAGGAACAUGUGGUUUAAUUCGAUGAUACGCGAGGAACCUUACCCGGGAUUGAAAUUUAGGUGCAUGGCGAAGAGAUUUGCCUUUCCUUCGGGACUCCUAAGUAGGUGCUGCAUGGUUGUCGUCAGCUCGUGCCGUGAGGUGUUGGCUUAAGUGCCAUAACGAGCGCAACCCACGUUGAUAGUUACUAACAGGUAAAGCUGAGGACUCUAUUGAUACUGCCGUCGUAAGACGAGAGGAAGGUGUGGAUGACGUCAAAUCAGCACGGCCCUUAUAUCCGGGGCGACACACGUGUUACAAUGGAGAGGACAGCGAGAAGCGACUAUGUGAGUAGGAGCGGAUCUCUUAAACCUUUCCCCAGUUCGGAUCGGAGUCUGCAACUCGACUCUGUGAAGCCGGAUUCGCUAGUAAUCGCGCAUCAGCCAUGGCGCGGUGAAUACGUUCCCGGGCCUUGUACACACCGCCCGUCAAGCCAUGGGAAUCGGGGGUACCUGAAGUGCGUGACCGUCAAAGGAGCGUUUUAGGGUAAUACUGGUGACUGGGGCUAAGUCGUAACAAGGUAGCCGUACCGGAAGGUGCGGCUGGAACAACUCCUUU